Molecule: long non-coding RNA, 1151 nt
Organism: Micropterus dolomieu (smallmouth bass)
Lineage: Eukaryota; Metazoa; Chordata; Actinopteri; Centrarchiformes; Centrarchidae
Exons: 2
Source: RefSeq, a predicted model, not a curated record
AGACGUACUUUGUGUAGGCGGCAAUGGGAUUUGGGGGGUUAAAACAUGAAAGAUUUCUGUGCUGGGCUAAGCCCCCAAUAUUUCAAGAGCCUGGAAACGCAGUAUGUUGUCCCUGAUGGAGCUCAAUCACGGAUUGAAACACUGAGAUUAAAACAAGGAGUGUGUGCGUUCUACAAUUUAUAUUUGCUUCCAGUACCUGUUGAAGAGGUUCUUGGAUGUGCAAAGCUUCUCAAUAAUUUAAAUGUACAAUAAAUGUCAAAACAGGGUGGGAAAUUCAUAUUAAACGUGAUAUUUUGUCUGGGUUAAUUAUAGAACGCAAAAGAAUAUAUUAACAACACCUUUUGUUAGGGAUGUGUAUGUCAUGUUGUAACGUGCUGCUGGAUCUCUUCAGUUUUCCUGACUCACCUGCAGUCUUCUGUUUCUUCAGGGGGGGCUGGGUGGAGGUGGAACCCUGUAUUCCUGAUGCCACGACAACCUGGGCUGUGGGCACAGAGAUGACGGUUGGAGUGCCUGGUGUUACCAUGGCAACAGUAGCAGUGGCUUUCUUGACGACCUUCUUAGACCCGUCGGAGGAAGCGGGCACAGUUCCAUCUUCAUACAGCUUCCUCUUCACUGUGCUCUUUGUCGGACCACUGGGGGGAACAUGGGAACUGCAAUGAUUUUAGUAUAUCAGUACUAAAAUCAUCAAUCAACCAGGUUAACAGGAGCAUCACAUGUGAGAGAUGGCCAACAAGUGCAUCCACAGUAAAAGUAUCACUUCUUCAAAUCCUGAAAGGGCCUGUUUUCACUGUCAGCUGAUGGCAACUGCAAUAGCAUGUGGCUGAUCCCUGUUAAUUAUGUGGAAAUAAAAUAAAACCAAUAAAGUCUCUGGGCUCCACUGAGCUAUUUUCUUAAUUGACAGAAAGGCCUCAUUAGCCAGUUGUAUCCCAGAAAGGGCUAAAAAAAAAACUCUUUAAAAAGAAGUCUCAACAGGACUUCACCAGAAAUACACUUCACCGGUUGGGAGUACUCAUAAGUAGCAGCAUUGGCUUCAGUUUUUGAUUGAUUGAUGUAAUGUUAUUGUUUCUUUAUUUUGUACUAUGAAGGUUUAACACUGUACCUUUUUGAGUAUGAUGAUAAAGAAGCGAAAUAAAUUGAUUCCAUAUCUUCCA